This 465-nucleotide ribosomal RNA is filed under the name Vreelandella stevensii. Its description in RNAcentral is "partial 16S ribosomal RNA". It matches the Rfam family "Bacterial small subunit ribosomal RNA", at positions 338 to 795 of the family's 1533-position model. The record is from RNAcentral. Lineage: Bacteria; Pseudomonadati; Pseudomonadota; Gammaproteobacteria; Oceanospirillales; Halomonadaceae.
CCUACGGGUGGCUGCAGUGGGGAAUAUUGGACAAUGGGGGCAACCCUGAUCCAGCCAUGCCGCGUGUGUGAAGAAGGCCCUCGGGUUGUAAAGCACUUUCAGUGAGGAAGAACGCCUGGUGGUUAAUACCCAUCAGGAAAGACAUCACUCACAGAAGAAGCACCGGCUAACUCCGUGCCAGCAGCCGCGGUAAUACGGAGGGUGCGAGCGUUAAUCGGAAUUACUGGGCGUAAAGCGCGCGUAGGUGGCUUGAUAAGCCGGUUGUGAAAGCCCCGGGCUUAACCUGGGAACGGCAUCCGGAACUGUCAAGCUAGAGUGCAGGAGAGGAAGGUAGAAUUCCCGGUGUAGCGGUGAAAUGCGUAGAGAUCGGGAGGAAUACCAGUGGCGAAGGCGGCCUUCUGGACUGACACUGACACUGAGGUGCGAAAGCGUGGGUAGCAAACAGGAUUAGAUACCCCAGUAGUC